AUGCGGAGGGAGACCGUUAGGGGUCAAUCCAUUCAGAAACUCCUGAGCAUAGUAGCCAUAUGGGUCAUCCUCCGCACUGUCAAAACUAUGGUAGAUUACUUCGUCUCCAUGAAAACGCUCUAUCAUGCGGAUGUUUAUCUUGUCUACGUUGUCGUUUGUUGUGGACAGGAUUGCUCAAGAUGUCAUGUAAUUUGGAUCAUCCAUGUUGUCGUCCAGACUCGGAAAUACAUGCUCAAUAAGCUUCUCCAGGUCGUCAGCCUCGCCCGUAGACGGCAGACAAAUAUCUUCUGGGAGUACUAUGUUGCCUUGAUUGUCGACCUCCUCAGUGCCAUUGCCGACCCUUAG
This 345-nucleotide ribosomal RNA is filed under the name Triticum aestivum (bread wheat). Its description in RNAcentral is "partial small subunit ribosomal RNA". The record is from RNAcentral. Lineage: Eukaryota; Viridiplantae; Streptophyta; Magnoliopsida; Poales; Poaceae.